This is a long non-coding RNA of Hippocampus comes (tiger tail seahorse), 1746 nucleotides long. RefSeq lists it as uncharacterized. Lineage: Eukaryota; Metazoa; Chordata; Actinopteri; Syngnathiformes; Syngnathidae. The record is from RefSeq and is a predicted model, not a curated record. The transcript is spliced from 5 exons.
AUGUGCCUGUUGUGGAGGCGAAGGUUCAACAGGCCAAGAGGUGAAAAAGCCAAGGCAAUCAUUUACCCGCCGUGUCACGCCACCGUGAUGGAGUUGAAUUCUGGUGCUGGACCUGCCUACCUUGGUGUGAAAAGUGGCAUGUGGCUGAAGGCUUUGAUGUUGAAUGACUCACGCGGCAGUGGAUUGUUUGCCAACGUUGCUCUUCAUCCUGCGUAUCCCAGAUAAGCUUUGACUCCAAGCUGGCAAAAAUGGUUGUACUCUCCAGAGGGAAGGAGUCUUCCGCCACCUGUUGGAUUCUUUUCGCAUUGCAGCACAAACUCUGCAAACAAGUUGGGCUCACCUAUUGGCAAGGCAGGCUGGCCCGGGUCCCGGCGCCGUGACACAACGGGCCUGCUGGUCACGACGAGAGGGAAGUGUGGACGGGAAACCGUCGACGGGGCUGUCGAGUUGGCUGAGCGUCACGCGCCGCAAGUUGGAAGAUGCCGGCCACUAAUACGGCACCAGUGUCUCUCGUCCUCGCCUCUGCUACCUGUCACCGCGCCCUUUUCGUCAUGUUUGGAAACAACAGGCAAUAAACAAUCUGGCCAUACUGAGAAGAUGGAGAGAGGAGCCAGAACAGCGCUGUUCGACUCUGCAUGACAAGAUCUUACUGCCCCCAGGUGGUUGAGGUGCAGAACAAUGUCCAUUGAAAAAUGUGGCAAAAACGUUUGCUCUCAUGCUUUACAAGGGUCCACCGGCACGGGACCUGACGAUCACCGGCUCACGCAGCCCGUCAUUUCCACUUUGGAACGGGUGGCAUGCGCAGGCUGACGUGACUGCCUUUGAGCAGCGCCGCUUCGCCACUGACUUGCAGCUGCAGCCGCCACUUGCCACGCUGCAUUCCUCCUCCUCUUCCUCCUCCUCCUCAUGACAGUAAGAGCACCUUGAUGGAUUGCCUUGCCAAAAGUGCUGAUCACAGGGGGUUCAAAGUUCACGUCAGGUGAACGACUGCAAUCACCCCAGAGCCAGCCGACCAUAACAUUGCUGACUGUUGCUUCAUUAUUCAUUGUAAUACAUCACAUUAUUUUUCAUUUGUUCAUGUCGUGUGUUCCAUUCGAUCAAAAUAGUUGUUGGGGUUUUUUUGUUAGUUUUUCCUCAUAGUUCUCAUACUUUAAAUCUUCCCUCCACUUGUCAAGCUCGAGACUGUGGCCCAUUUCCAGAGUGCAUCCCGUUAGAUGAUCGGCUCUAAUUUGAGCCGGCUCGUUAGCUUCGUUGGCUAAUGCGACGGCUUGAUUGUUGUACGCGUAUCCCGCCGCACGCCCCGAUCAAGCGCAUCGCCGUGCCGAAAAAGAGCAGACAUGUAAAAGUUUGUGACAUGUGUCAGGGCGGCAUGGAGACGAUGUCGCUGAUGUCGGUGGAGCUGACAGGCGCAGAUGGCUUUGGGACAUUGCAGGUUUGGUACAUGUCAACUUGCAUCGCCGUCACCCGCUGGAAGCUGUGUAAAUAUGUCAGCGCUGUCGUUUAAAAAAAGCACCAUUUGGAUUGCUUUGUUUUAAGUACGCAUUGGCAUAGGAGUGGCCCAAGUUGUUUUUGGACAUAACGCUUUUUUAACCUGAAAUGUGAGUGAAAAUUUGAUAUUCAUGUUCUAGUAGAUGGUGGCAGCCAACCUGACAACAAGCAGCGUUUGGGCAGGUGAAUGUUUUUAACUCCCGCCCCCACUAAUUCUCGAAGGAAACAUAAAACAAAGACAAUUAUACAUUACGUAUU